Molecule: ribosomal RNA, 470 nt
Filed under: Irpex laceratus
Lineage: Eukaryota; Fungi; Basidiomycota; Agaricomycetes; Polyporales; Irpicaceae
Description: eukaryotic LSU rRNA
Rfam family: 5.8S ribosomal RNA (bases 68-221)
Source: RNAcentral
CCUUUCUUAUGUUUACUACAAACGCUUCAGUUAUAGAAUGUUUACUGUGUAUAACACAAUUAUAUACAACUUUCAUCAACGGAUCUCUUGGCUCUCGCAUCGAUGAAGAACGCAGCGAAAUGCGAUAAGUAAUGUGAAUUGCAGAAUUCAGUGAAUCAUCAAAUCUUUGAACGCACCUUGCACUCCUUGGUAUUCCGAGGAGUAUGCCUGUUUGAGUCUCAUGGAAUUCUCAACCCCUAAAUUUUGUAAUGAAGUUUAUUGGGCUUGGACUUGGAGGUUGUGUCGGCUGUUAUUCGACUCCUCUGAAAUACAUUAGCGUGAAUCUUACGGAUCGCCUUCAGUGUGAUAAUUAUCUGCGCUGUGGUGUUGAAGUAUUUAUUAAUUCGUGCUUAUAAUCGUCUCUUACCGAGACAAUUUAUGACAAUCUGAGCUCAAAUCAGGUAGGACUACCCGCUGAACUUAAGCAUAUC